UGGUGGUGUUGUUCUGUAGGGUUCACCUGGCCUUCCUGGUCCACGUGGAGCAGCCCUAAACCUCUCCAUGGAGGAACUGAAGCACCUGAUUUAUUCCUCCAACAAACUGAACUACGACAUGGUCUGGGCUCUUAUGGGCAACCUGAGCCAUGAGUUGAAGCUGCUCAUCGCCCACCCAAAUGGCACCAAGGACAACCCAGCGACCACCUGCAAGGAGCUGCUCUUGGCCCAGCCUCACCUCCCGGAUGGUACAGGAACAAUCUCUUCUCCUUGGGGCAGGAGAGAGGAGUUGGGACCCAAGAUGGAAGAAGUUGUGAGGAAAGCAGGCUCCAUCUGGCCCUCAGUAGACUUGGCUUAGGCUGCAAAGUUGUAUUAUUCACUGGUGUGUAGCCACGAUGCAGCCAAUCAAGAAUAGGACCUAGAGAGAGGCAGGAUCUACAGAGGGUGCCCCUAAGCUUGGUUCCAGGCAGCGUGGUCAGUCCCAUAUUUCCUUGAGCACUGAGUUUUGCCAUUGUAAGUGGAGGAGCUUUGCCCGGCCCAUCCUGCCCUCCUCCUAAGGGGAGGGUAAUGGCAGAACAUGCAAACAGCCAGGGAUCAGCACAAAACUGUUUUCCUUCUGGACAGAGGGGCUGUUUGCUGUACUGGUCAGAAAAUCUCUCUGAGCAUAUUAUUCCUACACGUGCAGUCUCUGCAUCUCUUUCCAGUCCUAUGUCCUGGCAUCAGCAGGUCCCACUUAAAGAUAGAUAUCUCUGUUGCUCCUGAUAUAUUUUAGAUGCCAGGGAAGUCUGGCAUGGGGCAUGAAGGUGACCAGGUCAUCCCGUCAGACUCAACAGGCCUGUGAUCUCCAGGUCUGUGGUCACACAACAGGUGUCAGUGACUAUAACUGCUGUAGGGUUUGUACCCUGAUAUCAGUUGCAAGAGGCUGUGGACAGACAGGGAGCCAGAUUACAGGGUAUUGGUCAGCAGGGCCGGAUUAACCCUUUAGUGGGCCCCAGACAAGCCGAAACCCCCCUCCCCACCUCAGCAUUGCUGCCCGCAGGGAGCGAGGCUCAGAGCCACUACUAGGAAGCAGCUCCGUGGAGGGCAGGGGAAGGGAAAGGAAGGGAGGCAGACGGAGCCAUUCGCGCUGCCUUUGCAGAGGGAAGGACCAGGCCCCCACACAGCUCAGGUCCCUAGGCGUACGCCUCACUUACCUGUGUUAAUCUGGCCCUGUUGAUCAGCUCCGAGUCGGGCAGUGGCAGGGAGCAGGAAACAGGCUGAGCGAAAGGCUACCUCGGGAUAGGCAGCGAUGUGGAUUAAAACUGACUGCGCAUAGUACAUAUGCCGUGUCCCACUCAUACAUGGGAACUAUGAGGGUU
RNAcentral lists this long non-coding RNA (1358 nucleotides) under Crocodylus porosus (Australian saltwater crocodile). RNAcentral's name for it is "lncRNA (ENSCPRG00005012224.1)". The record is from RNAcentral. Lineage: Eukaryota; Metazoa; Chordata; Crocodylia; Crocodylidae.